RNAcentral lists this ribosomal RNA (448 nucleotides) under uncultured bacterium. Its description in RNAcentral is "partial 16S ribosomal RNA". It matches the Rfam family "Bacterial small subunit ribosomal RNA", at positions 355 to 792 of the family's 1533-position model. The record is from RNAcentral.
UGGGGAAUAUUGCACAAUGGGCGCAAGCCUGAUGCAGCCAUGCCGCGUGUGUGAAGAAGGCCUUCGGGUUGUAAAGCACUUUCAGCGAGGAGGAAAGGUGGUGAACUUAAUACGUUCAUCAAUUGACGUUACUCGCAGAAGAAGCACCGGCUAACUCCGUGCCAGCAGCCGCGGUAAUACGGAGGGUGCAAGCGUUAAUCGGAAUUACUGGGCGUAAAGCGCACGCAGGCGGUUUGUUAAGUCAGAUGUGAAAUCCCCGGGCUCAACCUGGGAACUGCAUUUGAAACUGGCAAGCUAGAGUCUCGUAGAGGGGGGUAGAAUUCCAGGUGUAGCGGUGAAAUGCGUAGAGAUCUGGAGGAAUAUCCGGUGGCGAAGGCGGCCCCCUGGACGAAGACUGACGCUCAGGUGCGAAAGCGUGGGGAGCAAACAGGAUUAGAUACCCCUGGUA